Molecule: unclassified non-coding RNA, 237 nt
Filed under: Rhizophagus sp. (in: glomeromycetes)
Lineage: Eukaryota; Fungi; Glomeromycota; Glomeromycetes; Glomerales; Glomeraceae
Description: partial contains 5.8S ribosomal RNA and internal transcribed spacer 2
Rfam family: 5.8S ribosomal RNA (bases 1-65)
Source: RNAcentral
GUGAAUCAUCAAAUCUUUGAACGCAAAUUGCACUCUCUUCGGAGAGUAUGCCUGUUUGAGGGUCAGUAUUAAUAAAAAUCGGUGUGUUGCUCCUUUGUGACGCUCCGGAGUUUGGGUCAUCUUAAUAUCCUUUAGGUUUUAAGAGGCUUAAAAUUGACUUUUUUUGCGCAUUUUAGAUGUACAUAAAUUUUUUUUUUUUCGUCUUUUCUUAAUUCCCAAAUCUUAUUAGAUUCGAUC